GGGGCCUUAGCUCAGUUGGUAGAGCGCCGCCUUUGCAAGGCGGAUGUCAGGAGUUCGAAUCUCCUAGGCUCCACCA
Molecule: transfer RNA, 76 nt
Filed under: Gordonia bronchialis
Lineage: Bacteria; Bacillati; Actinomycetota; Actinomycetes; Mycobacteriales; Gordoniaceae
Also listed under: 29 other names
Description: tRNA-Ala(tgc)
Rfam family: tRNA
About the family: Transfer RNA (tRNA) molecules are approximately 80 nucleotides in length. Their secondary structure includes four short double-helical elements and three loops (D, anti-codon, and T loops).
Source: RNAcentral